This 73-nucleotide transfer RNA is filed under the name Chloroflexota bacterium. RNAcentral describes it as "Chloroflexi bacterium (oil production facility metagenome) tRNA-Lys". It matches the Rfam family "tRNA". Rfam says of the family: Transfer RNA (tRNA) molecules are approximately 80 nucleotides in length. Their secondary structure includes four short double-helical elements and three loops (D, anti-codon, and T loops). Further hydrogen bonds mediate the characteristic L-shaped molecular structure. tRNAs have two regions of fundamental functional importance: the anti-codon, which is responsible for specific mRNA codon recognition, and the 3' end, to which the tRNAs corresponding amino acid is attached (by aminoacyl-tRNA synthetases). tRNAs cope with the degeneracy of the genetic code in two manners: having more than one tRNA (with a specific anti-codon) for a particular amino acid; and 'wobble' base-pairing, i.e. permitting non-standard base-pairing at the 3rd anti-codon position. The record is from RNAcentral. Lineage: Bacteria; Bacillati; Chloroflexota.
GGGCCGCUAACUCAAGUGGCAGAGUAACGGACUUUUAAUCCGUGAGCUGCGGGUUCGAGUCCCGCGCGGCCCA